CGGCUUGCGAAAACCGCCUGAUAUCCCCAUAUUGGGGGUGCCGGCUCGUCCGGCUAUGGCGCUAAACGCCUAGCGGAAUAAGCACUGCGGACCCGGGGGCGGUACCCGGCGCCUCCACCAUAAGCCGCGUUCAAGCCGCGUUCGACCGGAAUUCUUCAGGUCAGGCGCAUCAAGACGCGGUUUGUGAUGGGGGCGAAAUAGGAUCGACGCGUGUAAUAAAGGCUAGGUCUGUGCUCGGCAUGGUACCACCGACAUCGGGCCAUUUUGAUAAGUGCCAACGAUAACACGGAAGCACUUGCUGUCGCGGCCUAACACGCCAUAACGACAACGGGGUUCGGGCGGCACCUGGCAACAGAAGCCGCCCACU
This 367-nucleotide transfer-messenger RNA is filed under the name Rhodospirillales bacterium CG15_BIG_FIL_POST_REV_8_21_14_020_66_15. It matches the Rfam family "Alphaproteobacteria transfer-messenger RNA". From Rfam's summary of the family: Bacterial tmRNA, also known as 10Sa RNA or SsrA, is named for its dual tRNA and mRNA-like properties. Its role is to liberate the mRNA from a stalled ribosome. Lineage: Bacteria; Pseudomonadati; Pseudomonadota; Alphaproteobacteria; Rhodospirillales. The record is from RNAcentral.